GAAGAGUUUGAUCAUGGCUCAGAUUGAACGCUGGCGGCAGGCCUAACACAUGCAAGUCGAACGGUAACAGGAAGCAGCUUGCUGUUUCGCUGACGAGUGGCGGACGGGUGAGUAAUGUCUGGGAAACUGCCUGAUGGAGGGGGAUAACUACUGGAAACGGUAGCUAAUACCGCAUAACGUCGCAAGACCAAAGAGGGGGACCUUCGGGCCUCUUGCCAUCGGAUGUGCCCAGAUGGGAUUAGCUAGUAGGUGGGGUAACGGCUCACCUAGGCGACGAUCCCUAGCUGGUCUGAGAGGAUGACCAGCCACACUGGAACUGAGACACGGUCCAGACUCCUACGGGAGGCAGCAGUGGGGAAUAUUGCACAAUGGGCGCAAGCCUGAUGCAGCCAUGCCGCGUGUAUGAAGAAGGCCUUCGGGUUGUAAAGUACUUUCAGCGGGGAGGAA
RNAcentral lists this ribosomal RNA (447 nucleotides) under Shigella flexneri. Its description in RNAcentral is "bacterial SSU rRNA". It matches the Rfam family "Bacterial small subunit ribosomal RNA", at positions 1 to 449 of the family's 1533-position model. The record is from RNAcentral. Lineage: Bacteria; Pseudomonadati; Pseudomonadota; Gammaproteobacteria; Enterobacterales; Enterobacteriaceae.